Molecule: ribosomal RNA, 279 nt
Filed under: uncultured bacterium
Lineage: Bacteria
Description: partial 16S ribosomal RNA
Rfam family: Bacterial small subunit ribosomal RNA
Source: RNAcentral
UGCCAGCAGCCGCGGUAAUACGAGGGGUGCAAGCGUUGUUCGGAAUCACUGGGCGUAAAGGGUCCGUAGGCGGAUAUACAAGUCAGAUGUUUAAUUUCGAGGCCUAACUUCGAGUUUGCGUUUGAAACUGUGUAUCUUGAAUAGAUCAGAGGUUGAUGGAAUACCUGGUGUAGCGGUGGAAUGCGUAGAUAUCAGGUAGAACACCAAUGGCGAAGGCAGUCAACUGGGAUCAUAUUGACGCUGAGGGACGAAAGCGUGGGUAGCAAACAGGAUUAGAUA